UUAAGUGAAUAAGGGCGCACGGUGGAUGCCUUGGCACUAGGAGCCGAUGAAGGACGGGACUAACACCGAUAUGCUUUGGGGAGCUGUACGUAAGCUAUGAUCCAGAGAUUUCCGAAUGGGGGAACCCAACAUCUUUAAUAGGAUGUUACGAUUGUGUGAAUACAUAGCACAUUCGAGGUAGACGCAGAGAACUGAAACAUCUAAGUACCUGCAGGAAGAGAAAGAAAAUUCGAUUCCCUGAGUAGCGGCGAGCGAAACGGGAAAAGCCCAAACCAGCAAGCUUGCUUGUUGGGGUUGUAGGACUCCAAUAUGGUAGUUCUUUCAGAUAGUCGAAUGACUUGGAAAAGUCAGUCAAAGAGGGUAAAAACCCCGUAGACGAAAUGUGGAAGACACCUAGGAGGAUCCUGAGUACGGCGGAACACGAGAAAUUCCGUCGGAAUCCGGGAGGACCAUCUCCCAAGGCUAAAUACUCCCUAGUGACCGAUAGUGAACCAGUACCGUGAGGGAAAGGUGAAAAGCACCCCGGAAGGGGAGUGAAAUAGAACCUGAAACCGUGUGCCUACAACAAGUCAAAGCCCGUUAAUGGGUGAUGGCGUGCCUUUUGUAGAAUGAACCGGCGAGUUACGAUUGCAUGCGAGGUUAAGUUGAAGAGACGGAGCCGCAGCGAAAGCGAGUCUGAAUAGGGCGUUUGAGUAUGUAGUCGUAGACCCGAAACCAUGUGAUCUACCCAUGUCCAGGUUGAAGGUGCGGUAAAACGCACUGGAGGACCGAACCCACGUACGUUGAAAAGUGCGGGGAUGAGGUGUGGGUAGCGGAGAAAUUCCAAACGAACUUGGAGAUAGCUGGUUCUCUCCGAAAUAGCUUUAGGGCUAGCCUCGGAAUUGAGAAUGAUGGAGGUAGAGCACUGUUUGGACUAGGGGCCCAUCUCGGGUUACCGAAUUCAGAUAAACUCCGAAUGCCAUUCAUUCAUAUCCGGGAGUCAGACUGUGAGUGAUAAGAUCCAUAGUCGAAAGGGAAACAGCCCAGACCACCAGUUAAGGUCCCAAAAUAUAUGUUAAGUGGAAAAGGAUGUGGGGUUGCACAGACAACUAGGAUGUUGGCUUAGAAGCAGCCACCAUUUAAAGAGUGCGUAAUAGCUCACUAGUCGAGUGACCCUGCGCCGAAAAUGUACCGGGGCUAAACAUAUUACCGAAGCUGUGGAGUACACCUUUAGGUGUAUUGGUAGGAGAGCGUUCUAAGGGCGUUGAAGGCAGAUCGUGAGGACUGCUGGAGCGCUUAGAAGUGAGAAUGCCGGUAUGAGUAGCGAAAGACAGGUGAGAAUCCUGUCCACCGAAUGACUAAGGUUUCCUGGGGAAGGCUCGUCCGCCCAGGGUUAGUCGGGACCUAAGCCGAGGCCGACAGGCGUAGGCGAUGGAUAACAGGUUGAUAUUCCUGUACCCGUUGUUUUUGUUUGAGCAAUGGAGGGACGCAGGAGGCUAAGGAAUGCAGACGAUCGGAAAUGUCUGUCCAAGCAGUAAGUCUGAAGAGGAGUCAAAUGCUUCUUUUCUUAAGGACAAGCUGUGAUGGGGAGGGAAAUAAUAGUACCGAAGUUCCUGAUGUCACACUGCCGAGAAAAGCUUCUAGUGAGAAAACAGCGGCCCGUACCGCAAACCGACACAGGUAGUCGAGGAGAGAAUCCUAAGGUGAGCGAGAGAACUCUCGUUAAGGAACUCGGCAAAAUGACCCCGUAACUUCGGGAGAAGGGGUGCUGAUCAUACGAUCAGCCGCAGUGAAUAGGCCCAAGCGACUGUUUAUCAAAAACACAGGUCUCUGCAAAAUCGUAAGAUGAAGUAUAGGGGCUGACGCCUGCCCGGUGCUGGAAGGUUAAGAGGAGUGCUUAGCGCAAGCGAAGGUACGAAUUGAAGCCCCAGUAAACGGCGGCCGUAACUAUAACGGUCCUAAGGUAGCGAAAUUCCUUGUCGGGUAAGUUCCGACCCGCACGAAAGGCGUAACGAUUUGGGCACUGUCUCAACGAGAGACUCGGUGAAAUUUUAGUACCUGUGAAGAUGCAGGUUACCCGCGACAGGACGGAAAGACCCCAUGGAGCUUUACUGUAGUUUGAUAUUGAGUGUCUGUACCGCAUGUACAGGAUAGGUAGGAGCCGUAGAAAUCGGAACGCUAGUUUCGAUGGAGGCGCUGGUGGGAUACUACCCCUGCGUUAUGGCCACUCUAACCCGCACCACUGAUCGUGGUGGGAGACAGUGUCAGAUGGGCAGUUUGACUGGGGCGGUCGCCUCCUAAAAGGUAACGGAGGCGCCCAAAGGUUCCCUCAGAAUGGUUGGAAAUCAUUCGAAGAGUGUAAAGGCAGAAGGGAGCUUGACUGCGAGACCAACAAGUCGAGCAGGGACGAAAGUCGGGCUUAGUGAUCCGGUGGUUCCGCAUGGAAGGGCCAUCGCUCAACGGAUAAAAGCUACCCUGGGGAUAACAGGCUUAUCUCCCCCAAGAGUCCACAUCGACGGGGAGGUUUGGCACCUCGAUGUCGGCUCGUCGCAUCCUGGGGCUGUAGUCGGUCCCAAGGGUUGGGCU
RNAcentral lists this ribosomal RNA (2565 nucleotides) under Enterococcus faecium EnGen0191. RNAcentral's name for it is "bacterial LSU rRNA". It matches the Rfam family "Bacterial large subunit ribosomal RNA", at positions 1 to 2578 of the family's 2925-position model. Lineage: Bacteria; Bacillati; Bacillota; Bacilli; Lactobacillales; Enterococcaceae. The record is from RNAcentral.